GAUCAUGGCUCAGAUUGAACGCUGGCGGCAGGCUUAACACAUGCAAGUCGAACGGUAACAUAAAGAAGCUUGCUUUUUUGAUGACGAGUGGCGGACGGGUGAGUAAUACUUGGGAAUCUAGCUUAUGGAGGGGGGAUAACUACGGGAAACUGUAGCUAAUACCGCGUAAUAUCGAAAGAUUAAAGUGUGGGACCUUCGGGCCACAUGCCAUAGGAUGAGCCCAAGUGGGAUUAGGUAGUUGGUGAGGUAAAGG
This 253-nucleotide ribosomal RNA is filed under the name uncultured bacterium. RNAcentral describes it as "partial 16S ribosomal RNA". It matches the Rfam family "Bacterial small subunit ribosomal RNA", at positions 15 to 263 of the family's 1533-position model. The record is from RNAcentral.